Molecule: ribosomal RNA, 253 nt
Filed under: uncultured bacterium
Lineage: Bacteria
Description: partial 16S ribosomal RNA
Rfam family: Bacterial small subunit ribosomal RNA
Source: RNAcentral
UACGUAGGUGGCAAGCGUUGUCCGGAAUUAUUGGGCGCAAAGCGCGCGCAGGCGGUUUCUUAAGUCUGAUGUGAAAGCCCACGGCUCAACCGUGGAGGGUCAUUGGAAACUGGGAAACUUGAGUGCAGAAGAGAAGAGCGGAAUUCCACGUGUAGCGGUGAAAUGCGUAGAGAUGUGGGGGAACACCAGUGGCGAAGGCGGCUCUUUGGUCUGUAACUGACGCUGAGGCGCGAAAGCGUGGGGAGCGAACAGG